RNAcentral lists this ribosomal RNA (42 nucleotides) under Oxyrrhis marina. RNAcentral describes it as "partial Eukaryotic large subunit ribosomal RNA". The record is from RNAcentral. Lineage: Eukaryota; Dinophyceae; Oxyrrhinales; Oxyrrhinaceae.
UCCCCAUUCGGCCCGUCUUGUAACACGGACCAAGGAGUCUAA